This 492-nucleotide ribosomal RNA is filed under the name uncultured bacterium. RNAcentral describes it as "partial 16S ribosomal RNA". It matches the Rfam family "Bacterial small subunit ribosomal RNA", at positions 29 to 507 of the family's 1533-position model. The record is from RNAcentral.
AGUGAACGCUGGCGGUAGGCCUAACACAUGCCAGUCGAACGGCCGCACAGUAAGAUCUUGCUCUUACGGGUGGCGAGUGGCGGACGGGUGAGGAAUACAUCGGAAUCUACUUUUUCUUGGGGGAUAACGUAGGGAAACUUCCGCUAAUACCUCAUACGACCUACGGGUGAAAGCAGGGGAUCUUCGGACCUUGCGUGAUUCAUUUAGCCGAUGUCGGAUUAGCUAGUUGGCGAGGUAAAGGCCCACCAAGGCGACGAUCCGUAGCUGGUCUGAGAGGAUGAUCGGCCACACUGGAACUGAGACACGGUCCAGACUCCUACGGGAGGCAGCAGUAGGGAAUAUUGGACAAUGGGCGAAAGCCUGAUCCAGCCAUACCGCGUGGGUGAAGAAGGCCUUCGGGUUGUAAAGCCCUUUUGUUGGGAAAGAAAAACAGCAGAUUAAUACACCGCUGUUCUGACGGUACCCAAAGAAUAAGCACCGGCUAACUUCGUG